This 230-nucleotide ribosomal RNA is filed under the name uncultured bacterium. RNAcentral's name for it is "partial 16S ribosomal RNA". It matches the Rfam family "Bacterial small subunit ribosomal RNA", at positions 524 to 751 of the family's 1533-position model. The record is from RNAcentral.
UACGUAGGGUGCAAGCGUUAAUCGGAAUUACUGGGCGUAAAGCGUGCGCAGGCGGUUGUGCAAGACAGAUGUGAAAUCCCCGGCUUAACCUGGGAACUGCAUUUGUGACUGCACGGCUAGAGUGUGUCAGAGGGGGGGGUAGAAUUCCAACGUGUAGCAGUGAAAUGCGUAGAUAUGUGGAGGAAUACCGAUGGCGAAGGCAGCCCCCUGGGAUAACACUGACGCUCAUG